This 504-nucleotide ribosomal RNA is filed under the name uncultured bacterium. Its description in RNAcentral is "bacterial SSU rRNA". It matches the Rfam family "Bacterial small subunit ribosomal RNA", at positions 791 to 1302 of the family's 1533-position model. The record is from RNAcentral.
UAGUCCACGCCGUAAACGAUGGAUACUAGCUGUUCGGAUUUAUCUGAGUGGCUAAGCGAAAGUGAUAAGUAUCCCACCUGGGGAGUACGUUCGCAAGAAUGAAACUCAAAGGAAUUGACGGGGGCCCGCACAAGCGGUGGAGCAUGUGGUUUAAUUCGAUGAUACGCGAGGAACCUUACCAGGGCUUAAAUGUAGAUUGACAGAUUUGGAAACAGAUUUUUCUUCGGACAAUUUACAAGGUGCUGCAUGGUUGUCGUCAGCUCGUGCCGUGAGGUGUCAGGUUAAGUCCUAUAACGAGCGCAACCCCUGUUCGUUAGUUGCCAUCGAGUAAUGUCGGGAACUCUAACAAGACUGCCGGUGCAAACCGUGAGGAAGGUGAGGAUGACGUCAAGUCAGCAUGCCCCUUAUGCUCUGGGCUACACACGUGCUACAAUGCCGUGACAAAGAGUUGCUACUUGUGAAAACAAGCUAAUCUCAUAAACGCGGACCUCAGUUCGGAUUGCG